AGUGAACGCUGGCGGUAGGCCUAACACAUGCGAGUCGAACGGCAGCACAGUAAGAGCUUGCUCUUACGGGUGGCGAGUGGCGGACGGGUGAGGAAUACAUCGGAAUCUACUUUUUCGUGGGGGAUAACGUAGGGAAACUUGCGCUAAUACCGCAUACGACCUACGGGUGAAAGCAGGGGAUCUUCGGACCUUGCGCGAUUGAAUGAGCCGAUGUCGGAUUAGCUAGUUGGCGGGGUAAAGGCCCACCAAGGCGACGAUCCGUAGCUGGUCUGAGAGGAUGAUCAGCCACACUGGAACUGAGACACGGUCCAGACUCCUACGGGAGGCAGCAGUGGGGAAUAUUGGACAAUGGGCGCAAGCCUGAUCCAGCCAUACCGCGUGGGUGAAGAAGGCCUUCGGGUUGUAAAGCCCUUUUGUUGGGAAAGAAAAGCAGCAGGUUAAUACCCCGCUGUUCUGACGGUACCCAAAGAAUAAGCACCGGCUAACUUCGUG
RNAcentral lists this ribosomal RNA (492 nucleotides) under uncultured bacterium. RNAcentral's name for it is "partial 16S ribosomal RNA". It matches the Rfam family "Bacterial small subunit ribosomal RNA", at positions 29 to 507 of the family's 1533-position model. The record is from RNAcentral.